UUCAUUUUAUUCUUUAGCUUUAAGGUAACUACAAACACAUUGUUCAGGGAAGAGAAAAGGUACAUUUCAGCCUUCAGUCUGCAAUAACUUAGAGAAAAGGACCCAGA
Molecule: non-coding RNA, 107 nt
Organism: Erinaceus europaeus (western European hedgehog)
Lineage: Eukaryota; Metazoa; Chordata; Mammalia; Eulipotyphla; Erinaceidae
Source: Rfam